GACAGAGGGUGCAAACGUUGUUCGGAAUUACUGGGCGUAAAGCGCGCGUAGGCGGUGAUCUUUGUCAGAGGUGAAAUCCCGAGGCUCAACUUCGGAAUUGCCUUUGAAACGGGAUCGCUUGAGUCCGAGAGAGGAUGGCGGAAUUCCUAGUGUAGAGGUGAAAUUCGUAGAUAUUAGGAAGAACACCGGUGGCGAAGGCGGCCAUCUGGCUCGGUACUGACGCUCAGGCGCGAAAGCGUGGGGAGCAAACAGG
Molecule: ribosomal RNA, 253 nt
Filed under: uncultured bacterium
Lineage: Bacteria
Description: partial 16S ribosomal RNA
Rfam family: Bacterial small subunit ribosomal RNA
Source: RNAcentral